AGAGUUUGAUCCUGGCUCAGGAUGAACGCUAGCGGCAGGCCUAACACAUGCAAGUCGAGGGGUAAUCCCGCUUUCGGGCGGGAACGACCGGCGCACGGGUGAGUAACGCGUAUGCAACCUACCUUUAACAGGGGGAUAGCCCGAAGAAAUUCUGAUUAAUACCCCAUAAUACUAUGAAUAAGCAUUUAUUUAUAUUAAAAACUCCGGUGGUUAAAGAUGGGCAUGCGUAACAUUAGUUAGUUGGUGAGGUAACGGCUCACCAAGACUACGAUGUUUAGGGGGCCUGAGACGGUGGUCCCCCACACUGGUACUGAGACACAGACCAGACUCCUACGGGAGGCAGCAGUGAGGAAUAUUGCGCAAUGGAGGCAACUCUGACGCAGCCAUGCCGCGUGCAGGAUGACGGCCCUACGGGUUGUAAACUGCUUUUAUACAGGAAGAAUUUUCCGCACGUGUGCGGGAUUGACGGUACUGUACGAAUAAGCACCGGCUAACUCCGUGCCAGCAGCCGCGGUAAUACGGAGGGUGCAAGCGUUAUCCGGAUUUAUUGGGUUUAAAGGGUGCGUAGGCGGGAUAAUAAGUCAGUGGUGAAAUACUGCAGCUCAACUGUAGAACUGCCAUUGAUACUGUUAUUCUUGAGUUCGAUUGAGGUAGGCGGAAUGUGUAAUGUAGCGGUGAAAUGCUUAGAUAUUACACAGAACACCGAUUGCGUAGGCAGCUUACUAAGUCGACACUGACGCUGAGGCACGAAAGCGUGGGGAGCGAACAGGAUUAGAUACCCUGGUAGUCCACGCUGUAAACUAUGAUCACUAGCUGUUGGCGAUACAUCGAUCAGCGGCAAAGCGAAAGCAUUAAGUGAUCCACCUGGGGAGUACGGUCGCAAGAUUGAAACUCAAAGGAAUUGACGGGGGCCCGCACAAGCGGUGGAACAUGUGGUUUAAUUCGAUGAUACGCGAGGAACCUUACCUGGGCUUAAAUGCAGAUUGACGUUUCGGGAAACCGGAAUUCUCUUCGGAGCGAUUUGCAAGGUGCUGCAUGGUUGUCGUCAGCUCGUGCCGUGAGGUGUCGGGUUAAGUCCCAUAACGAGCGCAACCCCUAUUGUUAGUUGCCAGCGGAUAAUGCCGGGGACUCUAACGAAACUGCCGGUGUAAACCGAGAGGAAGGUGGGGAUGACGUCAAAUCAGCACGGCCCUUAUGUCCAGGGCUACACACGUGUUACAAUGGUCGGUACAGAGGGCAGCUACCUGGUGACAGGAUGCUAAUCUCGAAAGCCGGUCUUAGUUCGGAUCGAAGUCGGCAACUCGACUUCGUGAAGCUGGAAUCGCUAGUAAUCGCGUAUCAGCAACGACGCGGUGAAUACGUUCCCGGGCCUUGUACACACCGCCCGUCAAGCCAUGGAAGCUGGGGUACCUGAAGUCUGUAACCGCAAGGAGCGGCCUAGGGUAAAACUAGUGACUGGGGCUAAGUCGAACAAGGUA
This 1478-nucleotide ribosomal RNA is filed under the name metagenome. RNAcentral's name for it is "bacterial SSU rRNA". It matches the Rfam family "Bacterial small subunit ribosomal RNA". The record is from RNAcentral.